Molecule: ribosomal RNA, 440 nt
Filed under: uncultured bacterium
Lineage: Bacteria
Description: partial 16S ribosomal RNA
Rfam family: Bacterial small subunit ribosomal RNA
Source: RNAcentral
CCUACGGGUGGCAGCAGUGGGGAAUAUUGCACAAUGGGGGCAACUCUGAUGCAGCGACGCCGCGUGAGUGAAGAAGUAUUUCGGUAUGUAAAGCUCUUUCAGCAGGGAAGAAAAUGACACUAUCUGCCUUAGAAGCCCCAGCUAUCUACGUGUCAGCAGCCGCGGGAAUACGUAGGGGUCAAGCGUUAUCUGGAUUUACUGGGUGUAAAGGGGGCGUAGACGGCAAGACAAGUCAGAAGUGAAAGCCCGCGGCUCAACCCUGGGACUGCAUUUGAAACUGCCGGGCUGGAGUGCAGGAGAGGUAAGCGGAAUUCCUAGUGUAGCGGUGAAAUGCGUAGAUAUUAGGAGGAACACCAGUGGCGAAGGCGGCUUACUGGACGAUAACUGACGUUGAGGCGCGAAAGCGUGGGGAGCAAACAGGAUUAGAUACCCUAGUAGUC